GUCGGCAUAGUUUAAUUAAAAUAUUAGAUUGUGAUUCUAAAGAUAAGGGUUAAACCCCCUUUGUCUACC
RNAcentral lists this transfer RNA (69 nucleotides) under Stellifer lanceolatus (American stardrum). RNAcentral's name for it is "tRNA-His". It matches the Rfam family "tRNA". Rfam says of the family: Transfer RNA (tRNA) molecules are approximately 80 nucleotides in length. Their secondary structure includes four short double-helical elements and three loops (D, anti-codon, and T loops). Further hydrogen bonds mediate the characteristic L-shaped molecular structure. tRNAs have two regions of fundamental functional importance: the anti-codon, which is responsible for specific mRNA codon recognition, and the 3' end, to which the tRNAs corresponding amino acid is attached (by aminoacyl-tRNA synthetases). tRNAs cope with the degeneracy of the genetic code in two manners: having more than one tRNA (with a specific anti-codon) for a particular amino acid; and 'wobble' base-pairing, i.e. permitting non-standard base-pairing at the 3rd anti-codon position. Lineage: Eukaryota; Metazoa; Chordata; Actinopteri; Sciaenidae. The record is from RNAcentral.